AGUGGCGGACGGGUGAGUAACGCGUGAGAAUCUACCUUCAGGACGGGGACAACAGCUGGAAACGGCUGCUAAUACCCGAUAUGCCGAAAGGUGAAAAGUUUUUUCGCCUGGAGAGGAGCUCGCGUCCGAUUAGCUAGUUGGUGAGGUAAAAGCUUACCAAGGCGACGAUCGGUAGCUGGUCUGAGAGGAUGAGCAGCCACACUGGAACUGAGACACGGUCCAGACUCCUACGGGAGGCAGCAGUGGGGAAUUUUCCGCAAUGGGCGAAAGCCUGACGGAGCAACGCCGCGUGGGGGAAGAAGGUUUUUGGAUUGUAAACCCCUUUUCUCAAGGAAGAACAAAAUGACGGUACUUGAGGAAUCAGCCUCGGCUAACUCCGUGCCAGCAGCCGCGGUAAUACGGAGGAGGCAAGCGUUAUCCGGAAUUAUUGGGCGUAAAGCGUUCGUAGGCGGCUGUUCAAGUCUGCUGUCAAAGACCGAGGCUCAACCUCGGGUAGGCAGUGGAAACUGGAUAGCUAGAGGUCGGUAGGGGCAGAGGGAAUUCCCAGUGUAGCGGUGAAAUGCGUAGAUAUUGGGAAGAACACCGGUGGCGAAAGCGCUCUGCUGUGCCGAACCUGACGCUGAGGGACGAAAGCUAGGGGAGCGAAUGGGAUUAGAUACCCC
Molecule: ribosomal RNA, 662 nt
Filed under: uncultured bacterium
Lineage: Bacteria
Description: bacterial SSU rRNA
Rfam family: Bacterial small subunit ribosomal RNA
Source: RNAcentral